AUGUCCAACACAAAGAUGGCGGACGGUGACCAACACAGUGAGAAAAUUGCUGCCCUGGAGAAGGCGUUGCUCGAUGAGAGCGUGGAUCCAAUCGAUCUACCUUUCUCUCUACUCAAGUCCAUCACAGGGAAUUUCUGUGAAGCUCAAGAAAUUGGCAGGGGCGGGUAUGGAGCAGUCUACAAGGGAGUGCUUCCAAGUGGUCGCAUUAUUGCCGUGAAGAAGCUCUUCGAGAGGUUUGAGAUCCUGGACAAGAAUUUUGAGAGUGAGGUCGCAUGUCUUGUUGGGGUAAAGCACAAGAACACAUUGAGAUUCCUCGGGUACUGCUCUGAGACACAGCUCGUGGUAAUGCCAUACGACGGGAAGCUUGUAUGUGCAGAAGAACGGCAGAGGCUGCUCUGCUUCGAGUACAUAUGCAAAGGGAGCAUUGCUGACUAUCUCUCCGACGCUUCUUAUCAACUUCACUGGACUGCAAUAAUCAAGGGGAUAUGUGAGGGUGUACAUUAUCUUCAUCAGCAACGUAUUAUUCGCAUGGACCUCAAACCUCAAAAUGUAUUAUUGGAUGAUAAUAUGGUGCCCCGAAUUGCGGAUUUCGGUCUCUCACGGCGCUUAAGUGGAAGCCAGAGUCGGGUUAUUACUGAAAACAAGCUUGGGACGAUGGGAUAUAUGGCACCGGAAUUCUUAAAUCGUGGUGAAAUCACCUUCAAGACAGAUGUAUACAGUUUAGGUGUUAUAAUCAUGGAGAUCCUUAUGGGACAUAAGGAAUGCUCCAAUGUUGAGAAGGUAGUUGAAAGUUGGACGAACAAGUUUGGGGCAUCAAAGAACCAGACAUCACUCGAACAAGUAAAAGUAUGUGCUGAGAUAGGGAUUAAAUGCACCAACUAUGACCCUGGGAACAGGCCUGCUACAUGGUUUAUCGUCAGUGAAUUUGAAAAGAUGGUUGAACAGGAAACUUCAAGAAGGUCUGUUACAAGUGAUGAAGCUAUAACAGAAGGGCAAUCUACUGUUCGAGAGCGAGUUAUAACCAACACUGUCCUUGAGGAAUCUCGCUUACUCACAUCAUAUGAUAUACCAACUUUGUCUGCGGAGAAUUUAACGAUGAAGGAGCUACUGAUUGUUUGUGCUAAAGCUGUGGCGGACGACAAGGCCACCAACAUCUCUUGUUCAAGUAUCAGUCAGGACAUAAUUGUAGAGUUGAGGAAAAUGGUUUCAGUGUGUGGUGACCCACUCCAGAGGUUGGGAGCCUACAUGUUGGAGGCCCUUAUUGCCAGGAUUUUCUCAUCAGGACACUCGGUCUGCAAAGCCUUGGAGUCUGACGCUGAAGACUUCAUCUCAUACAGGAAUCUACUGUUUGAGUCCUGCCCCUACUUGAAGUUUGCUUACCUGUCGGCUACCGGCGCGAUUGCAGAGGCUACAAAUGGAGAAGAUAGGAUUCAUAUCAUCGAUUUCUCUAUCUGCGAUGGGGUUCAGUGGGUAACUCUCCUCCAGGCACUUGCGAGACGUGCUGGUGGUGCACCAGCUGUGAGGAUCACAGGAAUAGAUGACUCAGUACAAGCAUACACGCUAGGCAGAAGCAAGCUAGAGCUAGUUGGAAGGAGGCUGUCGCGUAUUGCUGGCGCAUGCAACGUCCCCUUUGAAUUCUGCGCGGUUGCCAUCACUGCAAGCCAAUUGAAGGCGGGCCACCUGGGUGUCAUCCGUGGUGAAGUUGUUGCGGUGAACUUCAACCUGGGGCUGCACAAAAUUUCUGAUGAUGAUGAGUCCUCUUUAAGCCAGCGAGACCGGAUCCUGAAACUGGCCAGGAGCUUGUCGCCCAGGUUAGUCACCCUUGUGGAGCAUGAGCUCAACACCAACGAAGCCACCACUUUCGCAGAUAGGUUCGCGGAGACGCUUGACUACUACACCGCUGUCUUCGAGUCCGUUGACUUAUCACUCCGGAGGGAUGCCAAUGAAAGGAUCGACAUGGAGCAGCACUGCCUCGGAAAGGACAUGGUGAACCUCAUUGCCUGUGAGGGCGCGGAAAGGGUGGAACGACACGAGCUCUUCGGCCAGUGGAAGGCGCGCCUCAUCAAGGCUGGCUUCACACCCUCUCCGCUCAGCUCGCACGUAAAUGACACCAUCAAGAAGAUGCUGCUGAGGUACAGUUGCCACUACCGGUUCGAAGAGAGGGACGGUGUGCUCUACCUCGGAUGGAAGGACAGGCCACUGGUGGUUACGUCCGCCUGGCAUUGA
Molecule: ribosomal RNA, 2226 nt
Filed under: Triticum aestivum (bread wheat)
Lineage: Eukaryota; Viridiplantae; Streptophyta; Magnoliopsida; Poales; Poaceae
Description: partial small subunit ribosomal RNA
Source: RNAcentral